RNAcentral lists this ribosomal RNA (253 nucleotides) under uncultured bacterium. Its description in RNAcentral is "partial 16S ribosomal RNA". It matches the Rfam family "Bacterial small subunit ribosomal RNA", at positions 524 to 776 of the family's 1533-position model. The record is from RNAcentral.
UACGUAGGUGACAAGCGUUGUCCGGAUUUACUGGGCGUAAAGAGCGCGCAGGCGGUCGUUCAAGUCGAGUGUGAAAGCUCCCGGCUCAACCGGGAGAGGACAUUGGAGACUGCCAAGCUCGAGGCAGAUAGAGGGAUGUAGAAUUCCGGGUGUAGUGGUGAAAUGCGUAGAGAUCCGGAGGAAUACCAGAGGCGAAGGCGGCAUCCUGGGUCUGACCUGACGCUGAGACGCGACAGCAUGGGGAGCGAACGGG